This 253-nucleotide ribosomal RNA is filed under the name uncultured bacterium. RNAcentral's name for it is "partial 16S ribosomal RNA". It matches the Rfam family "Bacterial small subunit ribosomal RNA", at positions 524 to 776 of the family's 1533-position model. The record is from RNAcentral.
UACGAAGGGGGCUAGCGUUGCUCGGAAUUACUGGGCGUAAAGCGCACGUAGGCGGCUUCUUAAGUCGGUGGUGAAAUCCUGGAGCUCAACUCCAGAACUGCCUUCGAUACUGGAGAGCUAGAGUCCGGAAGAGGUGAGUGGAACUGCGAGUGUAGAGGUGAAAUUCGUAGAUAUUCGCAAGAACACCAGUGGCGAAGGCGGCUCACUGGUCCGGUACUGACGCUGAGGUGCGAAAGCGUGGGGAGCAAACAGG